This 73-nucleotide transfer RNA is filed under the name Trichonephila inaurata madagascariensis. RNAcentral's name for it is "tRNA-Thr". Lineage: Eukaryota; Metazoa; Arthropoda; Arachnida; Araneae; Nephilidae. The record is from RNAcentral.
GCCCAGCCAGUACGGUGGAUAUGAUCCUCGGCUUGUAACCGAGUGGGUUCGGGUUCAAAUCCCGAGUAAGGUA